GGUUUGAUUCUGGCUCAGAUUGAACGCUGGCGGGAUGCUGUAUAUUACGUAAGUCAGAACGGCAGCACGGACUUCGGUCUGGUGGUUAUGGCGAACGGGUGAGUAAUGUAUCAUGGAACGUGCCUAGUAGCGGGGAUAACUACGCGAAAAGCGUAGCUAAUACCGCAUACUGCCCUUCGGGGGAAAGCGGGGACCUUCGGGCCUCGCACUAUUAGAGCGGCCGAUAUCGGAUUAGCUAGUUGGUGGGGUAACGGCUCACCAAGGCGACGAUCCGUAGCUGGUUUGAGAGGACGACCAGCCACACUGGGACUGAGAUACGGUCUACCCAGACUCCUACGGAGGCAGCAGUGGGGAAUUUUGACAAUGGGGGAACCUCGAUCCAGCCAUCCUGCGUAAAGCAUGGCCUCGGGUUGUAAAAGCACUUUUGGCAGGAGAAGAAACGGCACGGGAUAAUACCCUGCAACUGACGGUACCUGCAGAACAGCACCGGCUAACUACGUGCCAGCAUGCGGUAAUACGUAAAAAAGGUGAAUCUAAUUACUGGCAGCGCAGGCGGUUCGGAAAGAAAAAGAUGUGAAACCGGUAGAGCUUAACUUUGAACCGCAUUUUAACUACCGAGCUAGAGUGUGUCAGAGGGAGGUGGAAUUCCGCGUGUAGCAGUGAAAUGCGGGAUAUGAGUAACACCGAUGGCGGGCAGCCUCUGGAGCAAUACCUUCCGACGCUCAGUGCACGAAAGCGGGGAGCAAACAGACGACACCUGGUAGUCCACGCCCUAAACGAGAUGUCAACUAGCUGUUGGGGCCUUCGCCUGUAGCGCAGCUAACGCGUUGACCGCCUGGGGAGUACGGUCGUGCAAGAUUAAAACUCAAAGGAAUUGAUGACCGCACAAGCGGUGGAUGAUGCAUUAAUUGAUGCAACGCGAAAAACCUUACCUACCCUUGACAUGUCUGGAACUUGAAGAGAUCAGAGUGCUCACGCAAGAACGGAACAUAUGGUGCCACAUGCCACGCCGUCACGAGAUGUUGGGUUAAGUCCCGCAACGAGCGCAACCCGUCAUUAGUUACACAGCGGCACUCUAAUGAUCACGGUGAGCAAACCGGAGGAAGGUGGGGAUGACGUCAAGUCCUCACACCUUAUGAACAUCACUGGUCAUACAAUGGUCGGGACAGGGUCGCCAACCCGCGAGGGGGAGCCAAUCCCAGAAACCUGAUCGUAGUCCGGAUCGCAGUCGCAACCUGACUGGGUAAGUUGGAAUCGCUAGUGACCGCGACUGGGGCAUGUCGCGGUGAAUACGUUCCCGGGUCUUGUACACACCGCCCGUCACACCAUGGGAGAGUGGUUUUACCAGAAGUAAAGAAGCCCAACCGGGUGAGGGCGAUUACCACGGUAGGAUUCAUGACUGGGGUGAAGUCGCACAAGGUAA
RNAcentral lists this ribosomal RNA (1423 nucleotides) under uncultured Bordetella sp. RNAcentral describes it as "partial 16S-23S ribosomal RNA intergenic spacer". It matches the Rfam family "Bacterial small subunit ribosomal RNA". The record is from RNAcentral. Lineage: Bacteria; Pseudomonadati; Pseudomonadota; Betaproteobacteria; Burkholderiales; Alcaligenaceae.